RNAcentral lists this ribosomal RNA (253 nucleotides) under uncultured bacterium. Its description in RNAcentral is "partial 16S ribosomal RNA". It matches the Rfam family "Bacterial small subunit ribosomal RNA", at positions 524 to 776 of the family's 1533-position model. The record is from RNAcentral.
UACGGGGGGGGCAAGCGUUGUUCGGAAUUACUGGGCGUAAAGGGUUCGUAGGUGGCUGGCUAAGUCAGACGUGAAAUCCCUCAGCCUAACUGGGGAACUGCGUCUGAGACUGGUCGGCUCGAGUGCAGGAGAGGAACGCGGAAUUCCAGGUGUAGCGGUGAAAUGCGUAGAUAUCUGGAGGAAUUCCGGUGGCGAAGGCGGCAUCCUGGACCGGCAUUGACGCUGAGGAGCGAAAGCCAGGGGAGCAAACGGG